AGGAGCUUGCUCUUCUGGAUGAGUUGCGAACGGGUGAGUAACGCGUAGGUAACCUGCCUGGUAGUGGGGGAUAACUAUUGGAAACGAUAGCUAAUACCGCAUAAUAACAGUUGUUGCAUGACAACUGUUUGAAAGGUGCAAUUGCAUCACUACCAGAUGGACCUGCGUUGUAUUAGCUAGUUGGUGGGGUAACGGCUCACCAAGGCGACGAUACAUAGCCGACCUGAGAGGGUGAUCGGCCACACUGGGACUGAGACACGGCCCAGACUCCUACGGGAGGCAGCAGUAGGGAAUCUUCGGCAAUGGACGAAAGUCUGACCGAGCAACGCCGCGUGAGUGAAGAAGGUUUUCGGAUCGUAAAGCUCUGUUGUAAGAGAAGAACGAGUGUGAGAGUGGAAAGUUCACACUGUGACGGUAUCUUACCAGAAAGGGACGGCUAACUACGUGCCAGCAGCCGCGGUAAUACGUAGGUCCCGAGCGUUGUCCGGAUUUAUUGGGCGUAAAGCGAGCGCAGGCGGUUAGAUAAGUCUGAAGUUAAAGGCUGUGGCUUAACCAUAGUACGCUUUGGAAACUGUUUAACUUGAGUGCAAGAGGGGAGAGUGGAAUUCCAUGUGUAGCGGUGAAAUGCGUAGAUAUAUGGAGGAACACCGGUGGCGAAAGCGGCUCUCUGGCUU
Molecule: ribosomal RNA, 674 nt
Filed under: uncultured Bacilli bacterium
Lineage: Bacteria; Bacillati; Bacillota; Bacilli
Description: bacterial SSU rRNA
Rfam family: Bacterial small subunit ribosomal RNA
Source: RNAcentral